CGCGCGCCCGGGGUCCCGGGGAGCCCGCAGCGCCACGCCCGCCCAGGCUGCACCUGGACUCUCGCUCUCGCUCUCCCUCCCUCCCUCCCUGUCUCUCUUUUUCUGUCCUGCCAGACCAGCUUUUCGGAUUCACGGUUUCCUCCCCUCCUGGCCCAGAGGGGCGGAGCCACUGUGGUUUGCCCCUCCGCCCGCCCAGCCCCGCCCCCCCAUGCCUCCACGCCGACCCCUGGGCGCCGCGACCCCCUUGACCAGUGGGGAGAGUUGAGGGAAACUGAGGCCCGCAGUGGGGCCCCUCUGCUCCCCGCCAGAGCCAAGGAUCUGCCCCCAGCCUGGAGAGCUUGAAGCCCCUAGCGGGAGGGGCAAGGGGGGUGCUGGGGGUGAAGUGGGGGUGCAGAACAGGACGUGGGGAACGCUCACCUCUACCCGCCCCCACCCCCCCCCCCUCCAGCUCCCGCCCGUGUCAUGAACUCUCCUUUCUGAGUAGCGGGCGGUGAGGCACCCAUUGGAGUGUCUGUGGACACAGGGCUUGGAGUGGGCCCUCUUACAACUUGACUGGCUCUGUGGCCGUCGAAGGCCCCCGAACUGUGAGCCUCGGCAGAGUGACUAGGUCUGAGCGCCCGGCCUGCUGGGAGACGGUGGGCGGGCCCGUCCCUAAGGCCAAAUGCGCUGGAAAGGCCAACAGGGGAGAUGGAGAAGCCAGCUUCCAGUGAGAGACAGUGGUGUGUCCGCCUGUCAUCUGAUAUUGGAAAGAGUGAUUGUCCUGAAGAUCAAAGGCGUGAGGGCGAAUGAGUAGCUUUCCCUGGAUCCAGCUGGGAAAAGGUCUCAGCAAGAAAUGAAUGUCACCUCCUCAGAGGAGCUUCCCUGUCCUCUAGAUGUCCCACAGCACCUCCUGGCAUUCAUUCUUUAUCUCUUUACCCCGGUUGCUUUUCUUCAGGCUCUGAUCUCUAACUGAAAUCAUCUUGGUUAUGUAUUUCCUUAUGAGCAGCUGGCUCUGACUUCUCCCACUGGACCAGCAGGCAUAGAUCCUGUAUCUCCAGAGCCCACACAAGGCUUGUCACAGGAGAGAUGGAAGCAGAAUCUGGGUAGAUCCCAUUAGACUAGAUCCCAGGGAAUUGUGUCUUCCUUUUGGAAUCUCAUGCACCUGGAAUUUUUUUUUUUUUUUUUUUUUAGAGCUCUUAACACUUUAUAAGUACAUAUUGGUGGGAUUAUUUCCUUGAGGCCUAUCUCUUACUAGGGCAAGGAUUCAUGACCGUUUUGUGCCAAAGUUUGCUCUUGUGUUGGGUGAAGCCUUUGGAUCCCUUCUCAGAAUAACGUGUUUAAAUGCAUAAAGUAAAAUACCUAGGAUUAUAAAGGAAGCCGAUUAUAUUGAAGUAGAAUCAACAAAAUGUUAAAAUGUAAAUUUGUUAUAUAGUUACAUGUGCUUCUUCAUUUAUACGUUUAAUAAUAAAACCUAUCGUAAUUCUCUAAGUGGUGAUAAGCAUAAUUGGUUUUUUGAGAUGUCUGCAAAAACAGGAAUGUGAGGAGCUCCUGGGUGGCUCGUUCAGUUAGGUGUCAGACUCUU
This is a long non-coding RNA of Felis catus (domestic cat), 1561 nucleotides long. RefSeq lists it as uncharacterized. The transcript has 4 exons. The record is from RefSeq and is a predicted model, not a curated record. NCBI's taxonomy places the organism in Eukaryota, Metazoa, Chordata, Mammalia, Carnivora, Felidae.